RNAcentral lists this ribosomal RNA (375 nucleotides) under Tubifex tubifex (sludge worm). RNAcentral's name for it is "partial 16S ribosomal RNA". It matches the Rfam family "Bacterial large subunit ribosomal RNA", at positions 1926 to 2539 of the family's 2925-position model. Lineage: Eukaryota; Metazoa; Annelida; Clitellata; Tubificida; Naididae. The record is from RNAcentral.
AACGCCCGCGGUAUCCUGACCGUGCAAAGGUAGCAUAAUCACUUGCCUAUUAAUUGUAGGCUAGAAUGAAAGGACAAACGAGAAUACACCUGUCUCCUUUAAGCCCUUAAAAAUUUAUCUUUAAGUGAAGAAGCUUAAAUUCAUAUGCAGGACAAGAAGACCCUAUAGAGCUUUACCUAAAAUCUACAUAGAUAGAGGCUAGCGGUUCGGUUGGGGCGACCGGGGGACAUUCAUCACCCCCAAACUAAAAGAUAUACCUAUCUCACCAAAGAUCCUUACUCAAGAUCAAAGAAUCAAGCUACCUUAGGGAUAACAGGCUAAUCCUCUUAGAGAGCCCUUAUCGACAAGAGGGGUUGGCACCUCGAUGUUGGCUUA